This 253-nucleotide ribosomal RNA is filed under the name uncultured bacterium. Its description in RNAcentral is "partial 16S ribosomal RNA". It matches the Rfam family "Bacterial small subunit ribosomal RNA", at positions 524 to 776 of the family's 1533-position model. The record is from RNAcentral.
UACGUAGGGUGCAAGCGUUAAUCGGAAUUACUGGGCGUAAAGCGUGCGCAGGCGGUAAUGUAAGACAGAUGUGAAAUCCCCGGGCUCAACCUGGGAACUGCAUUUGUGACUGCAUUGCUGGAGUGCGGCAGAGGGGAUGGAAUUCCGCGUGUAGCAGUGAAAUGCGUAGAUAUGCGGAGGAACACCGAUGGCGAAGGCAAUCCCCUGGGCCUGCACUGACGCUCAGUGCACGAAAGCGUGGGGAGCAAACAGG